AUUGAACGCUGGCGGCGUGCCUAACACAUGCAAGUCGAGCGGUAACAGGUGUAGCAAUACAUGCUGACGAGCGGCGAACGGGUGAGUAAUGCUUCGGAAUCUACCCAAUGGUGGGAAUAACCAGCCGAAAGGUUGGCUAAUACCGCAUACGUCCCACGGGAGAAAGCAGGGGAUCGCAAGACCUUGCGCCAAUGGAUGAGCCGAAGUCGGAUUAGCUAGUUGGAGGGUAACGGCCUACCAAGGCGACGAUCCGUAGCUGGUCUGAGAGGACGACCAGCCACACUGGGACUGAGACACGGCCCAGACUCCUACGGGAGGCAGCAGUGGGGAAUAUUGGACAAUGGGGGAAACCCUGAUCCAGCGACGCCGCGUGUGUGAAGAAGGCCUGCGGG
Molecule: ribosomal RNA, 392 nt
Filed under: uncultured bacterium
Lineage: Bacteria
Description: bacterial SSU rRNA
Rfam family: Bacterial small subunit ribosomal RNA
Source: RNAcentral